GACGAACGCUGGCGGCGUGCUUAACACAUGCCAUUCGAACGGAAAGGCCCUGCUUUUGUGGGGUGCUCGAGUGGCGAACGGGUGAGUAACACGUGAGUAACCUGCCCUUGACUUUGGGAUAACUUCAGGAAACUGGGGCUAAUACCGGAUAGGAGCUCCUGCUGCAUGGUGGGGGUUGGAAAGUUUCGGCGGUUGGGGAUGGACUCGCGGCUUAUCAGCUUGUUGGUGGGGUAGUGGCUUACCAAGGCUUUGACGGGUAGCCGGCCUGAGAGGGUGACCGGCCACAUUGGGACUGAGAUACGGCCCAGACUCCUACGGGAGGCAGCAGUGGGGAAUAUUGCACAAUGGGCGGAAGCCUGAUGCAGCAACGCCGCGUGCGGGAUGACGGCCUUCGGGUUGUAAACCGCUUUCGCCUGUGACGAAGCGUGAGUGACGGUAAUGGGUAAAGAAGCACCGGCUAACUACGUG
Molecule: ribosomal RNA, 468 nt
Filed under: uncultured bacterium
Lineage: Bacteria
Description: partial 16S ribosomal RNA
Rfam family: Bacterial small subunit ribosomal RNA
Source: RNAcentral